UUAUCAUGCACUUUGCUCUCCGAUCGAGCGACUCGCAUAGGGAAAGAGAAGAACGAGGAUAAACAGGGUUGGGCACUUUCAUUCUUCAUGCUGUAGGCCAAAAAGUUCGUCCAUUCACUUUCAUUCUUCAUGCUGUAGGCCAAAAAGAAGACAGAGGGUUGAGGAGAAAAAUCGUCCUCACAGACGAAACACCAAGUUCGGUCAAGAACAGAAGAAGAGAAAAGGGGAUCACAUGAAAAAUAACGAGGAUCUCGGCCGCCCCUUCUCCAAGACGAUGAAGCAUUAAUUUAUACAAACACCAAACUCUCGAUCUUAAUUGCUACAUCAUCAGGUGACCAUAUUCCAUUCUUUUUGCUCUUGCACACAAGACGCACUAACCUCCACGCCGAAGUUCUCAACGCCGGCCUGACGCUGCUUCCCCUGGCACGAGGGCACCCGGGGCUAGAGGCCCCCGGCCUUCCCGGCGGCGUCCUCCAGCGCUCGUCCGAUCGACCACCUAAGGCGCUGCAACCGCACCCGAAGAUCAUCGGCGCUCGACGCGAGUGGGCGGCCAACGUACUCCGGUGCGGCACAGUUUCCAGCGCAUGGCGGUGCCCUCAGGCGCUGUGCGACACGGCCUCGCUUCCCAAGCAGCGGCGGUGGCGCAACCACCGGCCGGCUCGCACUGAGCGGCGGCGGUUACCAGUGGCCAGGAAGCACACACGGGAGAAGAAAUUGGGGAUUUCUUAUCUCUUUGGUGGAUUUUCAAUUCAGCCCUUAGAUUCGAGCCUAAUCUAGUAUAAGUCCCUUAAAAUAUCUGUGUAAACCACAGUUUAACAGGUCUCUGCCGUUUAGCCCUCUGGCUUACUGCAUUUUAGAACCGGGCCAUUAGGCCAAUGGACUUUGCUGUUUAGUACUCGAACUUACUCUUUUCAACAAUUUAACCCUAUGGUUAUCGCAGUUUACAAUCUAAG
This 953-nucleotide long non-coding RNA is filed under the name Triticum aestivum (bread wheat). RNAcentral's name for it is "long non-coding RNA (TAES_LNC028226)". Lineage: Eukaryota; Viridiplantae; Streptophyta; Magnoliopsida; Poales; Poaceae. The record is from RNAcentral.